UGAGUUCGUGACCCUCCUGGCUGCCUGGCCCCGAGCCUUCCACCACUGUAGGCCUCGGUUGCCCUUCUAUUACCUGGCCAAAACGGUGGCCCUGACCUACUUGGGGGUCAGGAGCCCCUUGAAACUAGAUGGAAGUGAUAGGUCCCUUUUCCAGAAAGCUGGUCAGGUCAGGCUGACUAGGCUUGUUUCUGGAGUGUGAACAGCAAACACCCACUCAGCUGACGCGUCCCUUCGCAGCUGCGGGAGCACCAAGUCCAGCUGCACAAAGACACCCUGAGCCUGUCCUCUCCAAGCCCCGGGGCAGACGCCGGCUGCGGCCCCCACGUCUCCAGGCUCCCAGCCUCCACAGCCAGGAUGGCCCAGGCCCCUGGGGACCCUGAUGAAAGAGGAGCCCUCGGGGCAAUCGCCACCCUGUCUGCGUUUUUAAGACGAAGUCACUGAGGCCCCGCAAGGGGAACUCCGGGCCACAGGGCUGACACCUGGGUCUGCACACCUGUCCUCACGCUCAUUUUAAGAAACAACAGAAGCUGCUUUGAGAAGAGGCGGACAUGCAUGCCUGUGUUUCCCUCGGUACCGCAGAUAACACCUCACUCCUGGAAGAAAACCCAAGGAAAGCGAGCCGUGUGCUGAGCAAUGGCCGUGUGUCCUAGAGAGCUUGAGGGCUGUGGGCGGAGGGUGGUUUUGUUUUUGUUUCUUUUGAUUUGUUAUCAUUAGCUGAUUUACUCCUCACUACAAUCUUUGCGGUAGCUGCUCUUAUCCCCAGUUCACAGAUGGGAAAAGUGAGGCAUAGAGAGACCACAUGGAUGGCAGAGCGGAGGCUCAAACUGCGGAAACCUGCCGUCAGAGAACAGAAAAGAGGACAAGUGGGGGACUGGGGAGGGUGCCAGCAGGGAGCGCCCAGGGCCUGGGCUGGUUCCCCAGGGUUCUGUGGUACUUCCCAAGGGGGACAGGCAGGUAUUUGUUACUCAGUGGCUGAAUUUAACUUCUCCCUCCUGGGUGUUCCUUUCCAACCAGUCACUUACACCUCAUCCGUUUUACAGCCUCGCAUUUACAGACGCGCCAGCCUGAAGACUCAGCCCAGGAGGCCAGCCAGCCCUAUGGGCUCGGCCCUCACUCUGAUCUCCGACCCCACGACCCCUCGGCUCCUUUGGGGUCAGGGGGGUGGGUGGAGGAGGAGGGAGGGGGAGAGGCUCACCCAGGGGCAGGCUUUUCAAGAACCAAAACUCUUUUCAAGACAAGGCAAAGCCAGGCUUGCCAUUGAUUGGAUGGGGAUCCCCGGCUGCUGGAGGUAGACCUCGGUGGGUGAAGGGGUGGGGGCCCCCAGGCUUUCGAAUUGCACCUCACCUGCGCCCAGCAAGGAUGAACAUGUCCUGAUCUAGGGGCGAGCCUUGGAGCCCAGCUGUAGAGCCAGCCAAUGGGUUAUCCCUUCCCCCACUAGGGCAAAACCCAGAAGGCAAAGGAGCGGGCUACUGCCCUGCCAAGGGUCCCCAGGUCUUUCCCAGAAGGACCCUGCUUUGCAUUUCCCUUGGGGUUCUUGGGGGCAGACAUUUCCUGGCAAGAGGCUGGCUGCUGCCCACAGAGCUCCCUCCAGCUUCCCAGGCACUGUGUGUGCUCUGUUCUCGGCGCCCCAAAGAGCCGCUGGCUUGGGUUUGUGGGAGCCUGUCUGAGAUGAACAGGGGCCGUUCAGAGAGCUCCUCCUCGAGCCUCUGGGAUUCUGCUUAGGGUUGAGUCUCUGGGAUUCUGCUUAACCUCAGGUGGGGAAUAGAGACCUGGGAGGGGUCAUCUGGGCAGACACCUGUCCCUGAGGUGGGCAGAUCCACUCAGACACUCGUUCAUGCAAAUGCUGUUUCCUGAACAUCUACUGUGUGCCCAGCACUGUGCUAGACACCAAAGAUGCCACGGUUGACCCAACAAU
Molecule: long non-coding RNA, 1915 nt
Organism: Ailuropoda melanoleuca (giant panda)
Lineage: Eukaryota; Metazoa; Chordata; Mammalia; Carnivora; Ursidae
Exons: 3
Source: RefSeq, a predicted model, not a curated record